This is a long non-coding RNA of Bactrocera tryoni, 1058 nucleotides long. RefSeq lists it as uncharacterized. Lineage: Eukaryota; Metazoa; Arthropoda; Insecta; Diptera; Tephritidae. The record is from RefSeq and is a predicted model, not a curated record. The transcript is spliced from 2 exons.
CAAAUAAUUUAAAUAUUUAAUGAAAUUUGAAAAAAUUUGUGAAUUUCAUUUAUUCAACUGCGAAAAUCUACGACCAAAACGAAUACGACACACAACGACUAAAUAUAUGUAUGUAUGUGCAUAUGACUACAUACAUAUGAUACGACGACAUCAUCGCUAUCAACACACAACGUUUUUAGGCCAAGUAACAACAAUAGCAAACACCGUUCUACGAGUCACAACGAGCGCGCUAGCGAGCAGUUGUUUGAAACGAUCAGACUUCAACUUGCAAAACUCGCAAUCAGCUGAAAAUUUUGACUCACACACAUACAUACCUACACGAACAGACGCGUGCAUACCCGCCCAUAUUUCCAGUCAUACAUACAGACACAAGAACGACAAAAAUACGCUCAGUUGAUGGACUUUAACAACGACAACGUAACGAUGAUGUACGAAUAAAAAAUAAUAAACACCUUAGACAAGUGUGGAAUAAUUCCGAUGAGAAUUCAGUUCCAUAACACUCAAAUAAAAAGCAAAAUGGAUAACUAAAUGCAGUUGAAAUCAAUCAACAGCAGCAACAGCAGCAGAAGCAGGAGAAGUAGCAGCAGCAAUCACAAUUGCAUUGCGCAAUAGUCACGCCCACACCACCGAACGACGACCACAACGACGAUAACCAGCACCCCCCCUGCAAAUCCCCCCAACCGCCGGCCAACUCGUAAAGAUCAACUGGAGUUAAGGAGCCAACUUGUAUGCGCAUCUUAAAACCCACAAAAGAACAAAGGAUCCACAGCAGCAGCCUUAUCCACACGGGAAAAACACACGCAUCCCCCCACACCACAACAACAACAAAAAAAAUAUAUAAUACAUUAGACUAAAAGCAGUCAGCGAGAACAAAUUAAUUUAAAAACAUAAAUAUUAAUAUCCUGCGUUUAAAUAAUUUAACAACACAAAAAAGCAGUUAGUUCAAAGCAUAUUCCGAUUAAUUCAGCAAGUAAAGCGUUAAACACCUGUGCAACGCGGUAAACUACAUAAGAUUGCAACACAACACAGUGUGCAACAGUGAAAUUUAGCAAAUUCAA